This 211-nucleotide long non-coding RNA is filed under the name Lathyrus oleraceus (garden pea). RNAcentral's name for it is "Pisum sativum (pea) long non-coding RNA (PSAT_LNC003303)". The record is from RNAcentral. Lineage: Eukaryota; Viridiplantae; Streptophyta; Magnoliopsida; Fabales; Fabaceae.
UCUCUCAUUUGAGCCCACAGGUCCAAAAAAAUCAGGUUAUAAAUUUAGAGUUCCAGUGAAACAAAAGGCCAUUAUAUUCCUAUUACCCUGGCAGGGAAAAAGAUAGUGAGAGAAGAGCUAACAGAGUUCAGAGCAACCUCCAGAGACUGAAGGGAACUCAUCGGCAAAGAACCAAUUCCCUCUCACAUAAACCCUAAGAGUGCUUUGCAAA